CUGUUAUAUUUUAACCAAACAUUAUCCUGCUUGGUGUUGCAAUGACAAACACCUGAAGCUGGGACCUUUAUAAAGACAGGUUCAUUUGGCUUGAAGUUUUGGAGGCAAAAAGGUGACCCCAGGCAUUUAACCUGAAGGUCCUACUUACUACCUGUCAACAUGGCCACCCGGGACCACGCUUUCAGAAAAUCAGCCUUUGUGGGGACACACUCAAGCCUUCUCCACACCGUAGCAGUCUGCCUAGUUUGUUUUGGAUGUAUUUCUUUCGAAUAACAAAGUUGGUAUAUCUUCCUGGAAGAAUGACAACACCAGCACUCUGGGCUUAACUCAUCAAGUCAUGGGCUUCAUCCUGGUGCCUAGAUUGGAGCUCUACAGUAACCUGCUCAGUCUCAAAAGGCGAUUAAAAGCAGAAGAAUUAGUAAAGCUACUCAGGAAGACUGUUGGGAAGAGACUUCACAGUACCCAGAGACCACUGAAGUUGGAAGGGACACAUUUCAAGUGCUGCCAUCAGAUCGCUGUAUUUUCCACCAACCGUUAGAGCUCAAAGACACUGGUAUUGAGUUGGCAGGGAUAAUCAGGGCUUGCUUUUCCAAAGAUGUUGAUUUCUUGUGUGUGAAGGGUAGGCCAUGACUGAGAGGCCAAAGAGAACCAGUCCCAAGUGCAAGUCUGGCCCAGGAAGUUUCCAGUCGGAACAGCACAGCUCCCUGCCCACCAAGCCAAGGCUGGACCAAAAUAAAUGAAGAGCAGAACUGACCCCAGCACAGGCCCCAAGCAGAUGUCAGGACCAAUGAGGACUUCCCUUGUAUGUUGGUGGGAAUGGCAUGCUGGGAAAGUGCAAGCACAAUGACUCACCCCCGGACACCACAUAGCGUGUAGUCCAGGGAGGCUGCUCUGGUUUGCAGUAAACUGAAUAAACUCCCUUUCCGCACUGUGGGCUACAGGGUGAAUUCCUUCAGCAAUUCUAGCACUGUCUUUUCACCUUCCACAGCAUGUUUGCCCCUCAUUAAUACAAAUUAGAAACAGUCCAACCAAGGAUAGACAUCCAGUGUGUACCUAAGAGCUCUUGAGGACAGGGACUAUUAGAUAAAAUUCUGGUAAAUUUCACUAAUACCCUUUUCCUUCCCCCAAAAGGAGAAACACCACAGAAACUUGCUGCUUCCUGGCUGGACUCCUGGGAGAGCAGUGCUGGAAUUAUUGUUGUGUUGUUAUUGUUGAAACAAGGUCUCAUGUAGCCCAUGCUGGCCUGGAAUUGCCUGUGUGGCUGCGGAUGACCUUGAACGUCUGAUCCUCCUGCCUCUAUCUCCCAAGUGCUGGGAUCACAGACAGACUGUGGACGCGAGAACCCAGGCUGGAGAAAUGGCCCAGUGGUUAGAGCACUUGCUGCUCCUGCAGAGGACCUGGUUCAGCUCCCAGCACUCACAUCAGGCAGCUCACAACCAAGUGUAACUCCAUUUCCAGGGGGAGCUGAUGUCCUGUUCUGGCCCCCAUGCACUCCAGUAACCCUCCCCCAGAGUAUAUAUGUAAUUAAAAUAACAUAACUAAAAAUAAAUCUUUUUAAAAAUAAAA
Nannospalax galili (Upper Galilee mountains blind mole rat) is the source of this 1566-nucleotide long non-coding RNA. RefSeq lists it as uncharacterized. Lineage: Eukaryota; Metazoa; Chordata; Mammalia; Rodentia; Spalacidae. The record is from RefSeq and is a predicted model, not a curated record. The transcript has 4 exons.